GACGAACGCUGGCGGCGUGCCUAAUACAUGCAAGUAGAACGCUGAAGCGAGGAGCUUGCUCUUCUUGGAUGAGUUGCGAACGGGUGAGUAACGCGUAGGUAACCUGCCUUGUAGCGGGGGAUAACUAUUGGAAACGAUAGCUAAUACCGCAUAACAAUGGGUGACACAUGUCAUUUAUUUGAAAGGGGCAAUUGCUCCACUACAAGAUGGACCUGCGUUGUAUUAGCUAGUAGGUGAGGUAAUGGCUCACCUAGGCGACGAUACAUAGCCGACCUGAGAGGGUGAUCGGCCACACUGGGACUGAGACACGGCCCAGACUCCUACGGGAGGCAGCAGUAGGGAAUCUUCGGCAAUGGGGGCAACCCUGACCGAGCAACGCCGCGUGAGUGAAGAAGGGUUUCGGAUCGUAAAGCUCUGUUGUAAGUCAAGAACGGGUGUGAGAGUGGAAAGUUCACACUGUGACGGUAGCUUACCAGAAAGAGACGGCUAACUACGUG
Molecule: ribosomal RNA, 497 nt
Filed under: uncultured bacterium
Lineage: Bacteria
Description: partial 16S ribosomal RNA
Rfam family: Bacterial small subunit ribosomal RNA
Source: RNAcentral